GACGAACGCUGGCGGCGUGCUUAACACAUGCAAGUCGAACGGAAAGGCCCUGCUUUUGUGGGGUGCUCGAGUGGCGAACGGGUGAGUAACACGUGAGUAACCUGCCCUUGACUUUGGGAUAACUUCAGGAAACUGGGGCUAAUACCGGAUAGGAGCUCCUGCUGCAUGGUGGGGGUUGGAAAGUUUCGGCGGUUGGGGAUGGACUCGCGGCUUAUCAGCUUGUUGGUGGGGUAGUGGCUUACCAAGGCUUUGACGGGUAGCCGGCCUGAGAGGGUGACCGGCCACAUUGGGACGGGGAUACGGCCCAGACUCCUACGGGAGGCAGCAGUGGGGAAUAUUGCACAAUGGGCGGAAGCCUGAUGCAGCAACGCCGCGUGCGGGAUGACGGCCUUCGGGUUGUAAACCGCUUUCGCCUGUGACGAAGCGUGAGUGACGGUAAUGGGUAAAGAAGCACCGGCUAACUACGU
Molecule: ribosomal RNA, 467 nt
Filed under: uncultured bacterium
Lineage: Bacteria
Description: partial 16S ribosomal RNA
Rfam family: Bacterial small subunit ribosomal RNA
Source: RNAcentral